Saimiri boliviensis boliviensis (Bolivian squirrel monkey) is the source of this 94-nucleotide small nucleolar RNA. The record is from Ensembl. Lineage: Eukaryota; Metazoa; Chordata; Mammalia; Primates; Cebidae.
UCAUAGUAACUCAUGCCAGAGCAAACUGUGUCCCCAAACCAUUGCCUGGCCUCUGUGCCCGUAGGCUGCUGGCACUGAAGUGACUUGCCCAGUG